RNAcentral lists this ribosomal RNA (301 nucleotides) under uncultured bacterium. RNAcentral's name for it is "partial 16S ribosomal RNA". It matches the Rfam family "Bacterial small subunit ribosomal RNA", at positions 509 to 807 of the family's 1533-position model. The record is from RNAcentral.
CAGCCGCCGCGGUAAUACGAAGGGGGCUAGCGUUGCUCGGAAUGACUGGGCGUAAAGGGCGCGUAGGCGGCGAUCAAAGUCAGGCGUGAAAUUCCUGGGCUCAACCUGGGGGCUGCGCUUGAUACUUGGUUGCUUGAGUGGGGAAGAGGGUCGUGGAAUUCCCAGUGUAGAGGUGAAAUUCGUAGAUAUUGGGAAGAACACCGGUGGCGAAGGCGGCGACCUGGUCCUUGACUGACGCUGAGGCGCGAAAGCGUGGGGAGCAAACAGGAUUAGAUACCCCUGUAGUCCCUGUCUCUUAUAC